Molecule: non-coding RNA, 45 nt
Filed under: Schistosoma margrebowiei
Lineage: Eukaryota; Metazoa; Platyhelminthes; Trematoda; Strigeidida; Schistosomatidae
Source: RNAcentral
AUUCAGCUGACGAGUUUCAAAUGGGGCGAAAUUCGUGUCCUGGAU